ACGGAAGGCAGCAGUGGGGAAUAUUGCACAAUGGGCGAAAGCCUGAUGCAGCGACGCCGCGUGAGUGAAGAAGUAUCUCGGUAUGUAAAGCUCUAUCAGCAGGGAAGAAAAUGACGGUACCUGACUAAGAAGCCCCGGCUAACUACGUGCCAGCAGCCGCGGUAAUACGUAGGGGGCAAGCGUUAUCCGGAUUUACUGGGCGUAAAGGGAGCGUAGACGGUUUGGCAAGUCUGAAGUGAAAUGCGGGGGCUCAACUCCUGAACUGCUUUGGAAACUGUCGAACUAGAGUGCAGGAGAGGUAAGUGGAAUUCCUAGUGUAGCGGUGAAAUGCGUAGAUAUUAGGAGGAACACCAGUGGCGAAGGCGGCUUACUGGACUGUAACUGACGUUGAGGCUCGAAAGCGUGGGGAGCAAACAGGAUUAGAUACCCUGGUA
Molecule: ribosomal RNA, 434 nt
Filed under: uncultured Lachnospiraceae bacterium
Lineage: Bacteria; Bacillati; Bacillota; Clostridia; Lachnospirales; Lachnospiraceae
Description: partial 16S ribosomal RNA
Rfam family: Bacterial small subunit ribosomal RNA
Source: RNAcentral